CAGACACAGUGCUCUCUCUGGGUCCUCCUCCUGCAGCUUCCACAAGCUACUGGGCCACCACUCCCACCGCUGCCCCAGGGGUGUAAGAGAAAGCCACUGUGACAUCUCACCAAGGAGUGUCACCUCACAGAGAUUGACAUGCCCUGGAGUGGGAACCAGGCAGCAUGCCUGGCAACCUUGCUGGCCCCAAAACACAGCAUGUUCUUGUGAGGCACUGCGCUCCAGAGCAGACACGUUCCGUGGCAGCAUUGUCUUAGUGAUGGGGGACUCCUCUGUCCUCCUGACUGGUGGCCUGCUCCCAGAAGGAAGGAGGAGAAUAGAGGAGGAAAUUACUGCCUGAGCAGGACUGAAAAGACACAAAGGUGUACAAGGAGAGGCUGGACUGUGCUCGAAUUUGUGAUCAUCCAGAUACAUGCAAACAUCUCAAGAAGAAAUCCAGAUUAUAAAUCCUGUGUAAACAUCUCACUUGCCAAUGUGGAGUCCCAGGAGCAUGCAUAUAUUGUUUUUAGUGUGACCGCACCGUGCAGCUGUAUGGAUCCUUCAGGGAUAGGAAGGAUGGGAAUUAUCUGACAUGUUUUCCAGAUACUUCAACAAGUUUGAAGUUCUUCAGACCUAAGAGCACCCAGUCUGUAAGUUAAUCAUUGAUAUGUCCUCAGCUGUUGGUGAAGACAAAGAUCUGUUGUAAAUUAAAGCACUUUUUGCCAUAAGUUUACGUGACUUUACUGCUAUCCAUACCCUCUCUCAUGUGAGUCCUCAUACUGAGCUUUGGAGUGUGCUUUUUGUGUAUGUUUGUAACUGACUCUUUCAUUCGACUUUCAUUAUAUCUGACAGGGAAAUAAAUGACCAUUUUAUCAAAGUCUGUGAAUUCA
This 869-nucleotide long non-coding RNA is filed under the name Numida meleagris (helmeted guineafowl). RNAcentral describes it as "lncRNA (ENSNMEG00000005500.1)". The record is from RNAcentral. Lineage: Eukaryota; Metazoa; Chordata; Aves; Galliformes; Numididae.